UGGAGCAAAUCUCAAAAAGCCGUCCCAGUUCGGAUUGCAGGCUGCAACCCGCCUGCAUGAAGUUGGAAUCGCUAGUAAUCGCGGAUCAGCAUGCCGCGGUGAAUACGUUCCCGGGCCUUGUACACACCGCCCGUCACACCAUGAGAGUCGGGAACACCCGAAGUCCGUAGCCUGACCGCAAGGAGGGCGCGGCCGAAGGUGGGUUCGAUAAUUGGGGUGAAGUCGUAACAAGGUAGC
This 237-nucleotide ribosomal RNA is filed under the name uncultured bacterium. RNAcentral describes it as "partial 16S ribosomal RNA". It matches the Rfam family "Bacterial small subunit ribosomal RNA", at positions 1263 to 1500 of the family's 1533-position model. The record is from RNAcentral.